GUUCUGAGAGGAAGGUCCCCCACACUGGUACUGAGACACGGACCAGACUCCUACGGGAGGCAGCAGUGAGGAAUAUUGGUCAAUGGGCGAGAGCCUGAACCAGCCAAGUCGCGUGAGGGACGACGGCCCUACGGGUUGUAAACCUCUUUUGCCGGGGGACAAACGGCGGCACGCGUGCCGUCCUGAGGGUACCCGGAGAAAAAGCAUCGGCUAACUCCGUGCCAGCAGCCGCGGUAAUACGGAGGAUGCGAGCGUUAUCCGGAUUUAUUGGGUUUAAAGGGUGCGUAGGCGGGAUGCCAAGUCAGCGGUCAAAUACGGGGGCUCAACCUGCGUCCGCCGUUGAAACUGGCGUUCUUGAGUGGGCGAGAAGUACGCGGAAUGCGUGGUGUAGCGGUGAAAUGCAUAGAUAUCACGCAGAACCCCGAUUGCGAAGGCAGCGUACCGGCGCCCAACUGACGCUGAAGCACGAAAGCGUGGGUAUCGAACAGGAUUAGAUACCCUGGUAGUCCACGCAGUAAACGAUGAACACUAAUUGUCCGGCGGGGUUUGCCGCUGG
Molecule: ribosomal RNA, 556 nt
Filed under: uncultured bacterium
Lineage: Bacteria
Description: bacterial SSU rRNA
Rfam family: Bacterial small subunit ribosomal RNA
Source: RNAcentral